UUAAGUAGUGUAAAUAAUUAUAUAUUAGUAGGGUAAAAUAGAGAGUUCUAGAACCCCCCGCCUCACCCCUCACCACCCAUCAGUAUUGUGGGUGGGCGUGGUCUGGAGGGAGGGGCGUGACACACAGUGGGCUUGGUCUCUCGAUGGUGGGGUAAUGACCGUGGUCAAGGUCACACAGUGGGUGUUGUCUUUCGAUGGUGGGGAUAAGGGGAGGCGUGGUCUUAUCAUAGCAGAGUAAAGGAGAGGCGUGGUCUCACGAUGGUGGGGGUAAUAGGUGACUUAGGUGGGGUGUUUAGGCCAAUCAAAAUGACGGUUUAAAGUGCGCAUGCGCACUAUAACUUCAUGUCAGUGGUGGGGGAGGUAGCCAUUCGGAAAUGGUUGUUGUCCUCCUACGAUGUCAUCUACUGGAGGGUAAGGUAAACCUCAUGUGAACUGAUAACGAUAACUGAUAAACGUACGUGUAAACAUACACAUUACAUUGAAAUAGUGUACGUCAAAUAGUGGCCGCCGUUGCCACUUUAACAUAUUUACUUAAUAAUAACGCAACAGGGGUGUCCGUCAACAAUUCCUACAUAGGAAGGGAGUAAUGAAUCUUGACACAAACUAACCUGUAAUGGGUGAGGAUGAAACAAGACGUAAACUAAUUUGCCGCACAUCUAUACAUUGUAUAAAAUAAAUAAUUUCUAAAAAUUUUAUCAUCAACUACCAGACGCAUAGCUUAGGAAAUAUUGUGGUAUGAUUUAUUUUUAAUUUUAGAGAAAUUCAGGGGUGUUACACCAAAGUUCCUCCAAUUUUGGAAAAAAAAAAAAAAAAACGAGGUCCUAUUUUACACUUUACCAGGAUACUCGCCCAUACAUUACUAUGGUUCGAAAGAUUUACACCCUGUAUAUAUAAUUAAUAUAAAUGUAUACAUUACAUUGAAAUAGUGUACGUCAAGUAGCGGCCGCCGUCACCACACUUGUCCUUGACUAUUACAGAAGUUAUAAUUCAUUGAAUUAUACAUAAUAAUUAUAAUGUCGUUAUCGGUGGUUACAAUCAAUUAUUUGUCACCGUCGAGAAUGUCCUACAUACAAUCGUUGGUAAUAACACUUCGGUGAUAACAUCUAAGUGGGUAAACCGAAUCAAAACAAUUGGGUAUGACGUGCGCAUAAUGGUUGACACCCAAUGAAAACUAACCCAAGUCGGAGGGGAGGGGGAUCUCCUCUUCCUUCAACAAGUCCUAAUGAGCGAAGGGGUAAUGAAACUUGACUUAAACUAACCUAAUAGGUGGGGUGCGGAUGAAACUCGACGUAAACAAACUUGCCGCAUGUCUAUAGAUUGUAUAUAAUAAAUAAUUUCUAAAAAUUUUAUCAUUGGUUACCAGACGCAUAGCUAAGCAUAUUUACAAAGUCAAAGGUACCAUUAUCGUCCAGACGCAUUCACUCAUUAUCUUUUCUAAAGCGAUUAUACCAAAAACCAUUUGUCAGAUUAUUUCUAUUUGUUGUCCUGAAGAAUUUCUAUGACUUGUUGUCUUUUGAUAUAAAAUAAAAUAAAAUGGAGCAAUUAAAGAAACAGUUGAACGAUCAGAGUACAUUAAAAAAAUAUUUAAAAUUAAGUGAUUUGGAGGAACACACGCCAUACAAAGUCAUAUCUAUGAAUAAUACAAGCACACGAAAUGGGGUUGUCGUUGUUGGUUGUCUAUUCAACAAUAUGAAUGUGUUUAUCCCGAGAUUGAAAUUAACUAAUGAAGAAAUCGAAGCUUACAAUAUCAACAAUGACGAUAACAAAUUACAUUUAUUAUAUAGAGGCAAAAUUGGA
Daktulosphaira vitifoliae (grape phylloxera) is the source of this 1797-nucleotide RNA transcript. RefSeq lists it as uncharacterized. Lineage: Eukaryota; Metazoa; Arthropoda; Insecta; Hemiptera; Phylloxeridae. The record is from RefSeq and is a predicted model, not a curated record. The transcript has 2 exons.